This is a long non-coding RNA of Zophobas morio, 424 nucleotides long. RefSeq lists it as uncharacterized. The record is from RefSeq and is a predicted model, not a curated record. Lineage: Eukaryota; Metazoa; Arthropoda; Insecta; Coleoptera; Tenebrionidae. The transcript is spliced from 4 exons.
CCACAAUUUACCAAGUAUAAAAAUUAUAAUAAUAAUUAUAUAUAACUAAUGGUUUCAAAAAGAAAAAAUAUUGUAAGAAAAGAUCAUACCAAUAGAGGUUCGCGCGUUUUGGUUUUAACGUUCGAUGAAGAGGAAAGAAAUUAAUAUUUGUUUGAUUUGAGGGAGUAUCUUACUGGUUUUAAAAAACGUAAGGAACAGCGCAGGAAGAAGGCAACUGAAAAAGCUAUGGAAAAGUUGAGAUUAGAAAAAAUUCAAAAACGAGCUGAGCUAAAAAGAAAAUUAUUAGAACUUCAUUUGGCGAAGUUUAAAGAAAAUGGUCUAGUACAAUGCUCUUCUGGAGACGAAGCAGAAACAGAAAAAAACUUUACCGAAACUACUGUUUAUAAUUUUGCAAAUACCGAAACCACUGUUACUACCACUUCAA